UACGUAGGGGGCAAGCGUUAUCCGGAUUUACUGGGUGUAAAGGGAGCGCAGACGGUGUGGCAAGUCUGAUGUGAAAUGCGGGGGCUUAACUCCCGAGCUGCAUUGGAAACUGCCGUACUGGAGUGCCGGAGGGGUAAGCGGAAUUCCUAGUGUAGCGGUGAAAUGCGUAGAUAUUAGGAGGAACACCAGUGGCGAAGGCGGCUUACUGGACGGUAACUGACGUUGAGGCUCGAAAGCGUGGGGAGCAAAC
This 250-nucleotide ribosomal RNA is filed under the name uncultured prokaryote. RNAcentral's name for it is "partial 16S ribosomal RNA". It matches the Rfam family "Bacterial small subunit ribosomal RNA", at positions 524 to 773 of the family's 1533-position model. The record is from RNAcentral.